RNAcentral lists this ribosomal RNA (493 nucleotides) under uncultured bacterium. Its description in RNAcentral is "bacterial SSU rRNA". It matches the Rfam family "Bacterial small subunit ribosomal RNA", at positions 28 to 511 of the family's 1533-position model. The record is from RNAcentral.
GAUGAACGCUAGCGACAGGCUUAACACAUGCAAGUCGAGGGGCAGCAUGAUUUGUAGCAAUACAGAUUGAUGGCGACCGGCGCACGGGUGAGUAACACGUAUCCAACCUGUCCCAUACUCGGGGAUAGCCUUUCGAAAGAAAGAUUAAUACCCGAUGGUAUCAGAUUGAGGCAUCUUGAUUUGAUUAAAGAACUUCGGUAUGGGGUGGGGAUGCGUUCCAUUAGCUUGUUGGCGGGGUAACGGCCCACCAAGGCAACGAUGGAUAGGGGUUCUGAGAGGAAGGUCCCCCACAUUGGAACUGAGACACGGUCCAAACUCCUACGGGAGGCAGCAGUGAGGAAUAUUGGUCAAUGGACGAGAGUCUGAACCAGCCAAGUAGCGUGAAGGAUGACUGCCCUAUGGGUUGUAAACUUCUUUUAUAAGGGAAUAAAGUGCGCCACGUGUGGUGUUUUGUAUGUACCUUAUGAAUAAGGAUCGGCUAACUCCGUGCCAG